UACGGAGGGUGCAAGCGUUAUCCGGAAUCACUGGGUUUAAAGGGUGCGUAGGCGGACUGAUAAGUCAGAGGUGAAAGGUACAGGCUCAACCUGUAAAUUGCCUUUGAUACUGUUAGUCUUGAAUUAGGAUGAGGUUAGCGGAAUGAGUCAUGUAGCGGUGAAAUGCAUAGAUAUGACUCAGAACACCGAUUGCGAAGGCAGCUUACUAACAUGUAACUGACGCUGAGGGACGAAAGCGUGGGGAGCGAACAGG
This 253-nucleotide ribosomal RNA is filed under the name uncultured bacterium. Its description in RNAcentral is "partial 16S ribosomal RNA". It matches the Rfam family "Bacterial small subunit ribosomal RNA", at positions 524 to 776 of the family's 1533-position model. The record is from RNAcentral.